This 1032-nucleotide long non-coding RNA is filed under the name Oreochromis niloticus (Nile tilapia). Its description in RNAcentral is "lncRNA (ENSONIG00000037077.1)". Lineage: Eukaryota; Metazoa; Chordata; Actinopteri; Cichliformes; Cichlidae. The record is from RNAcentral.
AUGUUUAGCCGCAUGUUCUCCUUAAAUUGCUGGCUGUCUGAGUGGUGUCCCAGAAACAAUGUGGACUUCAUAGAUAACUGGGAAACCUUCUGGAGGGAACCUGGUCUUGUUAGGAGAGACGGCAUUCAUCCCACUUUGGAUGGAGCAACUCUCAUUUCUAGAAAUCUGGUCAAAUUUAUUAAACCCCCCCAAAAUAUGACUAUCCAGAGUUGGGACCAGGAAGCAGAGUUGCAGUCUUACACGCCUCUCUGCAGCUUCUCUCCUCCUGCUACCCCCCAAAAACCCAUCUCCAUUGAGACUGUGUCAGCUCCCAAACAGACAAAAAACAAACUAAAAACCAGCAAUAAACAACUUAAACAUAAAAAAUCCCAAAGAAAGAACAAUACAGUAUCCACAUCUGAACCAAAGAGUAAAACAGUGAAAUGUGGAUUAUUUAAUAUUAGGUCUCUCUCCUCCAAGUCUCUGUUAGUACAUGACUUAAUAAUUGAUCAACAAAUCGAUUUACUCUGCCUUACAGAAACCUGGUUGCAGCAGGAUGAGUAUGUUAGUUUAAAUGAAUCAACACCCCCGAGUCAUUCUAACUACCAGAAAUCCCGAAGCACAGGCCGAGGGGGCGGUGUGGCAGCAAUUUUUCACACCAGCCUAUUAAUCAACCAAAGACCAAGACAGACUUUUAAUUCAUUUGAAAGCCUGAUGCUGAGCCUUGUCCACCCCAGCUGUAAAACUCAGAAACCAGUCUUACUUGUUACCAUCUAUCGUCCACCUGGGCCUUACACAGAGUUUCUCUCUGAUUUCUCAGACUUUUUAUCUGAUUUAGUGCUCAGCUCAGAUAAAAUAAUUAUUGUGGGUGAUUUUAACAUCCAUGUAGAUGCUAAAAAUGACAGCCUCAACAUCGCAUUUAAUCUGUUAUUAGACUCAAUUGACUUCUCUCAAAAUGUAAAAGAACCCACCCACCACUUUAAUAAGUGUCUUUAUCCUGUUUUCCUUCUCUCACCCCAACCGGUCACAGCAGAUGGCCCCGCCCCUCCCUGA